AUGAACGCUGGCGGCGUGCCUAAUCCCUGCAAGUCGAGCGCACAGAUGAGGAGCUUGCUCCUCUGACGUUAGCGGCGGACGGGUGAGUAACACGUGGAUAACCUACCUAUAAGACUGGGAUAACUUCGGGAAACCGGAGCUAAUACCGGAUAAUAUAUUGAACCGCAUGGUUCAAUAGUGAAAGACGGUUUUGCUGUCACUUAUAGAUGGAUCCGCGCCGCAUUAGCUAGUUGGUAAGGUAACGGCUUACCAAGGCGACGAUGCGUAGCCGACCUGAGAGGGUGAUCGGCCACACUGGAACUGAGACACGGUCCAGACUCCUACGGGAGGCAGCAGUAGGGAAUCUUCCGCAAUGGGCGAAAGCCUGACGGAGCAACGCCGCGUGAGUGAUGAAGGUCUUCGGAUCGUAAAACUCUGUUAUUAGGGAAGAACAAAUGUGUAAGUAACUAUGCACGUCUUGACGGUACCUAAUCAGAAAGCCACGGCUAACUACGUG
RNAcentral lists this ribosomal RNA (496 nucleotides) under uncultured bacterium. Its description in RNAcentral is "partial 16S ribosomal RNA". It matches the Rfam family "Bacterial small subunit ribosomal RNA", at positions 29 to 507 of the family's 1533-position model. The record is from RNAcentral.